AAUUGUAGAUGCAGCACGGCACUGUGACCUACAGGUACGCAUUGAUCAUACUUCUCGUACACUGAGUUUUGGCUCCGAUCUGAACUAUUCUACCAAAGAGGAUUCUCCAGUAGGUCCGUUCCUACAGAACAUGCCCUCUGAACAGAUACGGAAUCAACUCACUGCCAUGUCAUCCUCCUUGGCUAAAGCCAUCCAGGUCAUCAAACCUGCAUCCAUACUGCAAGAACAUGAGGAACAGAGUCAGCAGGCCAUCACAUCCUACCUGAAGAAUGCCCGCAAAGAGCAUCAGCGCAUCCUUGCUCGCCGUCAAACGAUUGAGGAACGCAAAGAGCGUCUGGAGAGCCUC
Molecule: long non-coding RNA, 346 nt
Organism: Sinocyclocheilus rhinocerous
Lineage: Eukaryota; Metazoa; Chordata; Actinopteri; Cypriniformes; Cyprinidae
Exons: 3
Source: RefSeq, a predicted model, not a curated record